RNAcentral lists this transfer RNA (85 nucleotides) under Paracoccaceae bacterium. RNAcentral describes it as "Rhodobacteraceae bacterium (activated sludge metagenome) tRNA-Leu". It matches the Rfam family "tRNA". Rfam says of the family: Transfer RNA (tRNA) molecules are approximately 80 nucleotides in length. Their secondary structure includes four short double-helical elements and three loops (D, anti-codon, and T loops). Further hydrogen bonds mediate the characteristic L-shaped molecular structure. tRNAs have two regions of fundamental functional importance: the anti-codon, which is responsible for specific mRNA codon recognition, and the 3' end, to which the tRNAs corresponding amino acid is attached (by aminoacyl-tRNA synthetases). tRNAs cope with the degeneracy of the genetic code in two manners: having more than one tRNA (with a specific anti-codon) for a particular amino acid; and 'wobble' base-pairing, i.e. permitting non-standard base-pairing at the 3rd anti-codon position. Lineage: Bacteria; Pseudomonadati; Pseudomonadota; Alphaproteobacteria; Rhodobacterales; Paracoccaceae. The record is from RNAcentral.
GCCCGAGUGGCGGAAUUGGUAGACGCAGCGGAUUCAAAAUCCGCCAUCGCAAGAUAUGCCGGUUCGAGUCCGGCCUCGGGCACCA